CAGAUUGCAGGCUGCAACUCGCCUGCAUGAAGUCGGAAUUGCUAGUAAUCGCAGAUCAGCAUGCUGCGGUGAAUACGUUCCCGGGCCUUGUACACACCGCCCGUCACACCAUGGGAGUCGGUAACACCCGAAGUCGGUAGCCUAACCGUAAGGAGGGCGCCGCCGAAGGUGGGUUUGAUGACUGGGGUGAAGUCGUAACAAGGUAGC
RNAcentral lists this ribosomal RNA (207 nucleotides) under uncultured bacterium. RNAcentral describes it as "partial 16S ribosomal RNA". It matches the Rfam family "Bacterial small subunit ribosomal RNA", at positions 1294 to 1500 of the family's 1533-position model. The record is from RNAcentral.